GACCAAGGGCUGUGAUUUAGGUGUAGUUUGUUCCCCAAGGGUGCUUAUGUAGGAAGGCUGGUCCCCAGGGUGGUGAUGGUAAGAGGUGAUGGAACGUUUCAAAGGUGAGGCCUGGUGGGAGGUCCUUAGGUAACGGGAGAUCCUGCCUAUAGAAGGAGGUAGGAUAGCUCUCACGUGACUUCUGAGUUCUUACAAGAGUGAGUUGUUAUAAAAGCCUUAGCCUGAUCCCUGAUUUACUCUCUGGCUUCCUGUCUUAAGGAAUGGUCUCUUCCUCCCACGCGUGCUCCAUCCUCCAUGACACCUUCACCAGAGCCGAGUUGGUGCUGGUGCCGUGCCCUUGAACUAUGAGCUAAGUAAACCGUUUUCCUUUGUGAAGUUAGCCUGUCUCAGGCAUUUGAUUAUAGUCAUGACAAAUGUACUGAUAACAAAGUUCCUCUCUUUGCCUUAACAAAUGUUCUUCUCUUUGUCCUCUGCUAUUCCCUGAUUUUCCCCUCUGAGUUCUAGGAAGGGCUCAAUCUUUCAGCCUUACCAUGUCACCAGGAAUCAAGAGGAUGGUGACAACUUUGGCCCAUACUGUCACCUGUCACCACUGUCAUCCAUCCACCACUUGGAUUUACAUGGUUUACUUUAUGGAGCUCAAAGGCCUGGGGCUUUGCACGUAUGACCUCCUUCAACGCGGAAGUUGGAAUGAUGACACAGGCAUCUGCAUCACGCUGACUACCAUUGACUCCUGAGGACACUCACAGAAGAUGGAGACGUGAUAGCCAUAAAAUCUGCGAGCUCUCUUAUGGCCAAAACAACGCCUGCACAAGUCCUCCUAGGACGAAGAGAACAGUGGAACUGUAGUCCAGUGCUAGCAGUCUACUCCACUUCCAUUAUUGCCCUAGUUUUCAAAACAAUGUCCAAGAGUUUGUGAGGUCCUAGAUUAUAGUAGUAGAUGAGAAGUCUGAAGGCCAGAGAGCUUAUGAGGCUCAGUUAAGAUUCUAAUACUGGUCGGCAGGGAAGUUGCCAAUGUCCAGGGACUGUUGGAUUAGAAAGCUGAGGAUGCUGUUUAAGAAGGCAAAUUCGGCCGGCGCCGCGGCUCACUAGGCUAAUCCUCCGCCUUGCGGCGCCGGCACACGGGGUUCUAGUCCCGGUUGGGGCGCCGGAUUCUGUCCCUGUUGCCCCUCUUCCAGGCCAGCUCUCUGCUGUGGCCAGGGGAGUGCAGUGGAGGAUGGCCCAAGUGCUUGGCCCUGCACCCCAUGGAGACCAGGAGAAGCACCUGGCUCCUGCCAUCGGAUCAGCGCGGUGCACCGGCCACAGUGCCCAUUGGAGGGUGAACCAACGGCAAAGGAAGC
Molecule: long non-coding RNA, 1337 nt
Filed under: Oryctolagus cuniculus (rabbit)
Lineage: Eukaryota; Metazoa; Chordata; Mammalia; Lagomorpha; Leporidae
Description: lncRNA (ENSOCUG00000030975.1)
Source: RNAcentral